GACAGAGGGUGCAAACGUUGCUCGGAAUUACUGGGCGUAAAGGGCGUGUAGGCGGGCAGGUAAGUCGGGCGUGAAAUCCCUGGGCUCAACCCAGGAACUGCACUCGAAACUACUUGCCUUGAGUGCCGGAGAGGAAAGCGGAAUUCCUGGUGUAGAGGUGAAAUUCGUAGAUAUCAGGAGGAACACCAGUGGCGAAGGCGGCUUUCUGGACGGUAACUG
RNAcentral lists this ribosomal RNA (219 nucleotides) under uncultured bacterium. RNAcentral describes it as "partial 16S ribosomal RNA". It matches the Rfam family "Bacterial small subunit ribosomal RNA", at positions 524 to 742 of the family's 1533-position model. The record is from RNAcentral.